Molecule: non-coding RNA, 71 nt
Organism: Podarcis lilfordi (Lilford's wall lizard)
Lineage: Eukaryota; Metazoa; Chordata; Lepidosauria; Squamata; Lacertidae
Source: the annotation of a GenBank genome assembly
GGGCCAUAGCUCAGUGGUAGAGUAUUUGCCUUGCAUACAGAAGGUCCCAGGUUCAUCUCCAGGUGGUAUCU